RNAcentral lists this ribosomal RNA (566 nucleotides) under Microbacterium sp. ac6. RNAcentral describes it as "bacterial SSU rRNA". It matches the Rfam family "Bacterial small subunit ribosomal RNA", at positions 56 to 633 of the family's 1533-position model. The record is from RNAcentral. Lineage: Bacteria; Bacillati; Actinomycetota; Actinomycetes; Micrococcales; Microbacteriaceae.
UGCAGUCGAACGGUGAAGCUCCNGCUUGCUGGAGUGGAUCAGUGGCGAACGGGUGANUAACACGUGAGCAACCUGCCCCGGACUCUGGGAUAAGCGCUGGAAACGGCGUCUAAUACCGGAUACGCACCAGAAUCGCAUGGUUACUGGUGGGAAAGAUUUUUUGGUUCGGGAUGGGCUCGCGGCCUAUCAGCUUGUUGGUGAGGUAACGGCUCACCAAGGCGUCGACGGGUAGCCGGCCUGAGAGGGUGACCGGCCACACUGGGACUGAGACACGGCCCAGACUCCUACGGGAGGCAGCAGUGGGGAAUAUUGCACAAUGGGCGGAAGCCUGAUGCAGCAACGCCGCGUGAGGGAUGACGGCCUUCGGGUUGUAAACCUCUUUUAGCAGGGAAGAAGCGAAAGUGACGGUACCUGCAGAAAAAGCGCCGGCUAACUACGUGCCAGCAGCCGCGGUAAUACGUAGGGCGCAAGCGUUAUCCGGAAUUAUUGGGCGUAAAGAGCUCGUAGGCGGUCUGUCGCGUCUGCUGUGAAAACCCGAGGCUCAACCUCGGGCCUGCAGUGGGUAC